This 73-nucleotide transfer RNA is filed under the name Candidatus Aenigmatarchaeota archaeon. RNAcentral describes it as "tRNA-Thr". It matches the Rfam family "tRNA". From Rfam's summary of the family: Transfer RNA (tRNA) molecules are approximately 80 nucleotides in length. Lineage: Archaea; Nanobdellati; Candidatus Aenigmatarchaeota. The record is from RNAcentral.
GCCACGAUGGCUCAGUUGGUAGAGCGUCACCUUGGUAAGGUGAAGGUCCCGAGUUCGAUCCUCGGUCGUGGCU